AACGCACCUUGCACCCCUUGGCAUUCCGAGGGGUACACCCGUUUGAGUGUCGUGAAAUUCUCAAACCUUCUUGGUUUCUAUGACCAAGAUGGCUUUUGGACUUUUGGAGGUCUUUUGCCGGCUUUGCGAAAAGUCGGCUCCUCUUAAAUGCAUUAGUGGGGUCCUCUUUGCUGAUCCCCAGGCGUUGAUAAGAUGCUUCUACGUCUUGGGAUUCGCUCUGUUCAUUGGCAACCCGCUUCUAACCGUCUCACAAUAAGGAGACAUCGUUCGAGCUUUGCUCGACCCUACGAACCUUGACCUCAAAUCGGGUGAGACUACCCGCUGAACUUAAGCAUAUCAUAGCGGAGG
RNAcentral lists this ribosomal RNA (348 nucleotides) under uncultured Russula. Its description in RNAcentral is "eukaryotic LSU rRNA". The record is from RNAcentral. Lineage: Eukaryota; Fungi; Basidiomycota; Agaricomycetes; Russulales; Russulaceae.